GUCCGCUAAUCUGCACCCGCCUCCGCGUUUCCUGAAAGCGCGCGGCGGCGAGAGGAGCGGAAGCGGCGACAAGCAGAGAGAUGGCCGGCGGUGGCGCCGCCGCCGCGUCGGCGCUUUCGAGCCCCUGGAGGGCGCUGCUCCAGCGAGCGCUGGACGCCAACGCCCACCUCAGGCACUCCACCUACUUCCAACUCGCCACGGUGGGCGCCGGCGGCAGGCCCGCGAAUCGCACCGUCGUCUUCAGGGGUUUCCAGGAACAUUCUGAUAAGAUUCAGAUUAACACAGAUGCCCGAAGCAACAAGAUUGGUGAGAUAAGGAAUUGUCCCUUUGGAGAGAUUUGUUGGUACUUCGCAGACAGCUGGGAACAAUUCCGUAUCAGUGGAAGCAUUGAUGCGAUUGAUGGCUCCAGUGCAGACCCUGCCAAGCUCCAGAACAGGGAGAAAGCCUGGUUCGCGAGCUCAGUAAGGUCAAGAUUGCAGUACUUGGGACCUCAGCCAGGUGUUCCCAUUAUAGAUGACGAGCAAGUUAAGGAUGUUCAUCUGGAUCCAUCAGCUGUCCCAGUAGAAGCCUUUUGCCUUCUGGUUCUUGAUCCAGAAAUGGUUGAUUAUUUGAAUCUAAAAAGCAACCAGAGGUUGAUAUUCACAAGAAGCCACAAGGAUGAUGGCUCCGUUGAUUGGAUGGCUGAAAAAGUUAGUCCAUAAACUGCUGUUAGAAGUUUGUUUGUGAACUUCUUAAGCGCAUAGAGGCUAUUAGUAGUCGAUGAGAAAGUUGAUACUCCUAUGUUAUAUGCAUGCUACUGGGGGCUUCCCUUCGGGAACAUAGAAGAUAAAGUGUAGGGUACAACUGAAGAAGAUCAGAACUCAAAGGUUCUGAAGGAUUUGAAGGUCAGAGAAGGGCAGUAGGAGUGAACGCAUCAACCUCCGUGAUAAUGUGCACUGGUGGGCAGAGCAAAAGCCGUUGGACGAUUGGAGAACUUCAGGUAAUCUGGGCAGGCCUUGAAUGCGGCCUUCCAAAUCAAAAGCUGGUUGCUGUCACCCUGCAAAGCUAAGGCAGAACACAUCACAUGACCUGCCCGUUAUUUGUAACAGUGCAGAGCAAUAUACUGAUUAGUGAAAGAAGCUUGUGGCUCCAGUGGUCAGUGGGUGCUCAUCUCAGCAUCUGAUUAUGAACAGUUUGAGAUGAAAACGUGCCAAUAGCAUUUUGUCACGCAAAAGUAAAGAUGGAGUGAACUAUUGUGGUCAUGUUCUGCCUGAGGCCCCAGCUGCAACUUGGAGUGCAUAGUAUGUUUUGGCGAUGUCAAGUCUAGAGCCUUUUAUUUUUUGGGACCAUAUGACCAUUGGUUGGUUCAUCUUGACCACUAUAGUUCUGCAGACUCGAUCAUCUAGCACUACCAAGGAGGAACAGAUAACCACGAGCAACCUUUCAGGAUCUGUCAAGUGCAACUCCAUUGCACUGAUUGGCGAGGUCAAAGGUGGCUGUUAAAUUGGGUAUUCAGCUUCUGCAUCGAAGACUUUUGGCAGCCU
Molecule: RNA transcript, 1523 nt
Organism: Panicum hallii
Lineage: Eukaryota; Viridiplantae; Streptophyta; Magnoliopsida; Poales; Poaceae
Gene name: pyridoxine/pyridoxamine 5'-phosphate oxidase 2
Exons: 9
Source: RefSeq, a predicted model, not a curated record